AGUGUGAUGGCUGAAAAUUAGGCGCUAGAUUGUAAAUCUAAUUAUGGGGAGCCCCCCUCACACUA
RNAcentral lists this transfer RNA (65 nucleotides) under Leptodora kindtii. RNAcentral describes it as "tRNA-Tyr". It matches the Rfam family "tRNA". Rfam says of the family: Transfer RNA (tRNA) molecules are approximately 80 nucleotides in length. Lineage: Eukaryota; Metazoa; Arthropoda; Branchiopoda; Diplostraca; Leptodoridae. The record is from RNAcentral.